Molecule: long non-coding RNA, 571 nt
Organism: Nomia melanderi (Alkali bee)
Lineage: Eukaryota; Metazoa; Arthropoda; Insecta; Hymenoptera; Halictidae
Source: RefSeq, a predicted model, not a curated record
CCGAGAAGAAGACAGGCUCGAAGGAGUGUUUUUCACUCAGUGGCUCGCGGAACUUGGAACGUUGAAGGUGCUAGGAAAGCGCGCGCGCAUAUCUUUCCUCGUCGAAUCACGUGUGCGCGUUCCGUGUCGCAAUUACGGUCACCUGUUCUGUUCGUUAAUUGUUUCUCGAUCAGCGUCGUCGACGAAUUAGGUGCAUGCUUGUGCUCGCUCGAUGAAAAGUGAAAAAUACAUAUAUAUAUAUAUAGAUUUAUUUCCCUCGAGAAGUGCGAAAUCGUGGAUUCCUCUUCCCUCCGGAAGAAUCAGAAGCUCUGUACGAGUGUGGAAACUAAUCAGUAUUAAUGCUUCCAUUAAGUCUUUGAUUAUAACGGAAUUAAUUAUUCAAGAACACGCGAGUAACGGAAGAUCAUUCUUUUGGAGACCCACCUGAUAUAAAUUUAACACUUUGAGUGCGAAGUAAACACUCGUCAAAAUUCUUAAUAAAACAAAAACUGAGAAAUUAAGAUUCUUCGUAACGAUUGCUCUAUCUUCCUCAUACCUCAUACAUCCAAAAUUCGGUUCGUUCGAUACGUUA